UACGAAGGGGGCUAGCGUUGCUCGGAAUCACUGGGCGUAAAGGGUGCGUAGGCGGGUCUUUAAGUCAGGGGUGAAAUCCUGGAGCUCAACUCCAGAACUGCCUUUGAUACUGAAGAUCUUGAGUUCGGGAGAGGUGAGUGGAACUGCGAGUGUAGAGGUGAAAUUCGUAGAUAUUCGCAAGAACACCAGUGGCGAAGGCGAGUCCCUGGACAGGUCCUGACGCUGAGGCACGAAAGCUAGGGGAGCAAACAGG
This 253-nucleotide ribosomal RNA is filed under the name uncultured bacterium. RNAcentral describes it as "partial 16S ribosomal RNA". It matches the Rfam family "Bacterial small subunit ribosomal RNA", at positions 524 to 776 of the family's 1533-position model. The record is from RNAcentral.